This 254-nucleotide ribosomal RNA is filed under the name uncultured bacterium. RNAcentral's name for it is "partial 16S ribosomal RNA". It matches the Rfam family "Bacterial small subunit ribosomal RNA", at positions 524 to 776 of the family's 1533-position model. The record is from RNAcentral.
UACGUAGGGGGCAAGCGUUGUCCGGAUUUAUUGGGCGUAAAGAGCUCGUAGGCGGUUUGGUAAGUCAGGUGUGAAAUCUCCACGCUCAACGUGGAGGGGCCACCUGAUACUGCCAUGACUGGAGUCCGGUAGAGGAGUGUGGAAUUCCCGGUGUAGCGGUGAAAUGCGCAGAUAUCAGGAGGAACACCGGUGGCGAAGGCGGGUCUCUGGGCCGUAACUGACGCUGAGGAGCGAAAGCGUGGGGAGCGAACAGG